CCUGUUGCCCGACUAGUUAUCCUUUCACCUUUUAAAGCCGAUACCCAGAAUUGAUUUGUGAUUUAUUGAUUCAAAUAUACUAUUUGAAGGGGCGGCUGUUAAAUCCCAAAUUCUCACCUCACCAUCUCCAUACCUGACUCCCCUGUCACUCAAGGCCAAACCACACCCCCAACACCAUAAAAGCCAGUCCUCAGGCCUGCUCUCCCUUUUGCAGCCUGAACAAGAGCAGCACUGAACAAAGGGAAUCUGACUGUGAGUGUGAAACGGACAAAGCCUUAACAAAUGUUGUUGUAUUCUCCUUAUUUGUAUUAUUUCUAAUAUGGUUUAUUCUCAAAUAUUAUUUCUUUAGAUUCCUGUCACCCUAAAACGCAUAUGUAUUGAUUUAAAACCCCGAAGUGGAUGCAUCUAUGAUGUAAGAUUAGUUAACCAAUUUACAAUUCAUUUGACUUUAUCAGUCCCCCCUUUUUUGUAAUAUUUUAUGUUGAUACAUCUUGUUUCUAUUCCUUUUGAUUGUACAGAAAAAAUCAUCCACUGAAGACGAGCAAAUAAACCGUCAAACUGAAUCCUGGAUCCUGUGUUUUAAUGUGCACUCAAUAUAGGAUGUUCGAUGAGCAAGCAUCAGCAACAUCAUAAUCUUUUACAUACAUACUAAACACGUUGGCCCAAUUCGGACACACUAGACGAGCGGUGGGGAAAGACGACCCCCGCAGGCAGAGAGUAGGUACUGCGCCCGUGCAGACAGUGGUAACUGAAGCCCCUCAUCUGCGGGCCUGGCUGUAGUACUGCAGCUGUGCAGUUUAAUGAUGGAAUAAGUGAGCUUUACCUCCACGAUGUCGCCACAUAUUUGCUCAUAAAAUGAUUACUUGGGCAAAUAUGACACCAUGACAUGACAAAGAGAUACAACCGCACAUUUUUUAGGACA
Molecule: non-coding RNA, 922 nt
Organism: Xyrichtys novacula (pearly razorfish)
Lineage: Eukaryota; Metazoa; Chordata; Actinopteri; Labriformes; Labridae
Source: the annotation of a GenBank genome assembly